CGGGCUACUGCACAAGUAGGUAAAGUUAGACUGUUAGAUAUAUUAAUUUGUACUGUAGUACUUUAUAUCUCAGUUAAAUCUUGAAUUUACAUCUAUUUUCAGUUUCAGUUUAGAAUUACUUUAAUUGAACUCAGGAGUGAAAACUUCAAUUAAUACGACAAACAUUAAUAACCAAGGAAAUGCAAACUUUGAAGUAACACCCACUGCUCUCAAUUCAUCAUCCGGUGAUGAGGAGGAUGAGAAGAGGGAUUCCAAGGGAAAGAACAAGGAGGAAGAAGAAAAAGGGAAAGGAGGGGGAAAGGGCAAGGAGCAAACUUGUUGAUAAUCAUUCAUUGUUCUGGUGAUCGUCAUCACAAUCAGAUGGUUGUAUUGACAAUUUGGAAAUGGAAAGGCAAGAAGCAAGAAAUACCUGUACCUGCUCCAAUUACAGGUUCAACUACUAUAAAGAUGCCUGAAAACACCACCAAAAAGGUGGACCUACUCAACAUUAAGACAACCUCCCUGGGGAAGGAGAAGGUUCUAAGCCGUGGUUCGAAAAUAUGAGCCAGGAGUACCGUUCCUCGGGGUCUCCAAGCCAUUGGAUGUGGUUGUGGGGCCUACAUGAUGGAUGAUCCAAUGACACAGGGUAUUCAUUCGCAAGGAUGUGACUUGGGCCCGGGUUUGAUCUAGAGAUGCUAGGGUUUGAUGGAGGAGGGAUCAAAGUCUCUGUUGGAACCUUAUCUGCUAUAUAACCUAUGCGAUUAUCCCGCUAACGCACAAAGGGAAAGGUCUUCAACUGCUUCGUCGUACGCCCGCUAUAGAGGAAGAGCUACUGGCACAACUGCAGAGGUAAACCCCAUACUCCUGCUAACUUGUAAAAAAAGAGCUGAAGUAUUGGCUGUUAUGGUUGCGGAAUCACUUGUUUGCUUUAGGUGCUUUGAGGAGCUUUAGUGGUGGACUCGUGUAAGCGCGUACUAGAAGUCCAUUUUAUAUUAUUCCUUUGUUUAUUGUUAAUUGACAGAGCCUUCCUUACGUAGCAUAUUUUAUGAUUGGAGCUCUUAAUUUAGUUUUUGGAUAGAAGUUGGGUUUUAUUAUAUGGACAUAUGUUUUGACGGUUACCACCA
Molecule: RNA transcript, 1103 nt
Organism: Cornus florida
Lineage: Eukaryota; Viridiplantae; Streptophyta; Magnoliopsida; Cornales; Cornaceae
Exons: 3
Source: RefSeq, a predicted model, not a curated record